ACAUUUCAGAGGGUUUGCCUGGAUGUGUACAUACAGGUGUUCAUGCAUGGACAGCAGAAAUACACAUGGCAAGCAAAGCUUCCAUAUGCGCUGGUUUGCAAUGUGUCUGAGCUGUUUUUCACCACCUCUCCAGGUGAAUGCUGUGGUCUGUUGCAAACAAAUCAUGCUGCAGUAGACCGGUGUUAAAAGGCUGAGAAAUUGAUAUUUUGUCAGGAAAAACAAUCUGUGAGCAAACAGCAUUCCAGGAAUGGAUUUACCACGUCCCUUUAAGAGCCUUCCCCAGCAUCCCUCACCUGUAGCUGCUGGUUUGGAUCUUGGUGGUCAGCAAAUCACUGGGGAUGUGCUGCAGCUGUGAGGAGGUGGGCAGGGCAGCAGGGUGCUGAGAGCAAUCUAGAGAGAUCUGCUUUCACCUGUAGCUCUCGUUGUUUGCCAGGGGAGCGGAGCAAGGAGGAGGAAGGCUGCAGGUGUCCUGCACAGCUGCAGCACAGCCAGUCCCUGGGAGCGACGGGCACACAGGGAUGUGCAGUUUCCUUGGAGAAGGCUGGAGCACCACAGGAGCUGCUGUGGCAGAUAACAAACAGACCCUUGUCUGGGAUGCGUUAACCAGCAACUUGUGAGAGCAUUGCUGCUCAGGUAAGCAGUCUGUGUGAGGAGGGACAUGCUGGGGACCAAGCUAAGGGCUGAGCUUAGCUGAAGAGUGAUGUAAUGUUGUGAAUAAUGAAAGAUGCUGAUCGUGGUGCUUUGAAGCAUUGGACACGUGAGAACUGGUUGUGAUUAUCUGCCCCCAGCAUGGCUGACAGCUGUGUUCAGCCAUUGGAAGGUGCCACGCACAUUAGCAGCCUUCAAGUACACAAAGAACCGGAGGCAUUGUGGGGGUGCUGGAUGGGUUCCCAUCUCAUUUUAUGGAGAAAGGCUGUAUUGGGACUACAGGAUGUGUGUCCCGCUGUGGUGUUGUCAGCAGAUGAACAGAGGGUCACUGUCUUAAGAUGGACAGACAGAGAUGGGGACAAGGG
Non-coding RNA from Phasianus colchicus (ring-necked pheasant), 1013 nucleotides. The record is from RefSeq and is a predicted model, not a curated record. Lineage: Eukaryota; Metazoa; Chordata; Aves; Galliformes; Phasianidae.